Molecule: ribosomal RNA, 898 nt
Filed under: uncultured bacterium
Lineage: Bacteria
Description: bacterial SSU rRNA
Rfam family: Bacterial small subunit ribosomal RNA
Source: RNAcentral
AGAGUUUGAUCCUGGCUCAGAAUCAACGCUGGCGGCGUGCCUCAGACAUGCAAGUCGAACGAUUAAAGCUCUCUUCGGAGAGUGUAUAGAGUGGCGCACGGGUGAGUAACACGUAAGUAAUCUACCUUCGAGUGGGGAAUAACAGUCGGAAACGACUGCUAAUACCGCAUAAUGCAGCGGCAUCGCAAGAUGACAGUUGUUAAAGGAGCAAUCCGCUUGAAGAGGAGCUUGCGGCAGAUUAGCUAGUUGGUAAGGUAAUGGCUUACCAAGGCUACGAUCUGUAUCCGGUCUAAGAGGACGGUCGGACACACUGACACUGAAUAACGGGUCAGACUCCUACGGGAGGCAGCAGUCGGGAAUUUUGGGCAAUGGGCGAAAGCCUGACCCAGCAACGCCGCGUGAAGGAUGAAGUAUUUCGGUAUGUAAACUUCGAAAGAAUAGGAAGAAUAAAUGACGGUACUAUUUAUAAGCUCCGGCUAACUACGUGCCAGCAGCCGCGGUAAUACGUAGGGAGCAAGCGUUGUUCGGAUUUACUGGGCGUAAAGGGCGCGUAGGCGGCGCGACAAGUCACUUGUGAAAUCUCCGGGCUUAACUCGGAACGGCCAAGUGAAACUGUCAUGCUAGAGUGCAGAAGGGGCAAUCGGAAUUCUUGGUGUAGCGGUGAAAUGCGUAGAUAUCAAGAGGAACACCUGAGGUGAAGACGGGUUGCUGGGCUGACACUGACGCUGAGGCGCGAAAGCCAGGGGAGCAAACGGGAUUAGAUACCCCGGUAGUCCUGGCCCUAAACGAUGAAUACUUGGUGUCUGGAAUUAUUAUUGUUCCGGGUGCCGUCGCUAACGUUUUAAGUAUUCCGCCUGGGGAGUACGCACGCAAGUGUGAAACUCAAAGGAAUUGACGG